RNAcentral lists this ribosomal RNA (465 nucleotides) under uncultured bacterium. RNAcentral describes it as "partial 16S ribosomal RNA". It matches the Rfam family "Bacterial small subunit ribosomal RNA", at positions 28 to 507 of the family's 1533-position model. The record is from RNAcentral.
GACGAACGCUGGCGGCGUGCUUAACACAUGCAAGUCGAACGGAAAGGCCCCUUUGGGGGUACUCGAGUGGCGAACGGGUGAGUAACACGUGAGUAACCUGCCCUUGACUUCGGGAUAACUUCAGGAAACUGGGGCUAAUACCGGAUAGGAAUCCUUGCUGCAUGGUGGGGGUUGGAAAGCUUCGGCGGUUUUGGAUGGACUCGCGGCUUAUCAGCUUGUUGGUGGGGUAGUGGCUUACCAAGGCUUUGACGGGUAGCCGGCUUGAGAGGGCGACCGGCCACAUUGGGACUGAGAUACGGCCCAGACUCCUACGGGAGGCAGCAGUGGGGAAUAUUGCACAAUGGGCGGAAGCCUGAUGCAGCAACGCCGCGUGCGGGAUGACGGCCUUCGGGUUGUAAACCGCUUUCAGCAGGGGCGAAGCUUGUGGUGACGGUACCUGCAGAAGAAGCACCGGCUAACUACGUG